This 256-nucleotide ribosomal RNA is filed under the name uncultured bacterium. RNAcentral's name for it is "partial 16S ribosomal RNA". It matches the Rfam family "Bacterial small subunit ribosomal RNA", at positions 335 to 582 of the family's 1533-position model. The record is from RNAcentral.
UUGCCUACGGGGGGCAGCAGUAGGGAAUCUUCGGCAAUAGGGGCAACCCUGACCGAGCAACGCCGCGUGAGUAAAAAAGGUUUUCGGAUCGUAAAGCUCUGUUGUAAGUCAAGAACGGGUGUGAGAGUGGAAAGUUCACACUAUGACGGUAGCUUACCAGAAAGGGACGGCUAACUACGUGCCAGCAGCCGCGGUAAUAGGUAGGUCCCGAGCGUUGUCCGGAUUUAUUGGGCGUAAAGCGAGCGCAGGCGGUUUG